RNAcentral lists this ribosomal RNA (460 nucleotides) under Streptococcus vestibularis. RNAcentral's name for it is "bacterial SSU rRNA". It matches the Rfam family "Bacterial small subunit ribosomal RNA", at positions 28 to 472 of the family's 1533-position model. The record is from RNAcentral. Lineage: Bacteria; Bacillati; Bacillota; Bacilli; Lactobacillales; Streptococcaceae.
GACGAACGCUGGCGGCGUGCCUAAUACAUGCAAGUAGAACGCUGAAGAGAGGAGCUUGCUCUUCUUGGAAGAGUUGCGAACGGGUGAGUAACGCGUAGGUAACCUGCCUUGUAGCGGGGGAUAACUAUUGGAAACGAUAGCUAAUACCGCAUAACAAUGGGUGACCCAUGUCAUUCAUUUGAAAGGGGCAACUGCUCCACUACAAGAUGGACCUGCGUUGUAUUAGCUAGUAGGUGAGGUAACGGCUCACCUAGGCGACGAUACAUAGCCGACCUGAGAGGGUGAUCGGCCACACUGGGACUGAGACACGGCCCAGACUCCUACGGGAGGCAGCAGUAGGGAAUCUUCGGCAAUGGGGGCAACCCUGACCGAGCAACGCCGCGUGAGUGAAGAAGGUUUUCGGAUCGUAAAGCUCUGUUGUAAGUCAAGAACGAGUGUGAGAGUGGAAAGUUCACACUGG